Non-coding RNA from Pelobates cultripes (western spadefoot toad), 238 nucleotides. Lineage: Eukaryota; Metazoa; Chordata; Amphibia; Anura; Pelobatidae. The record is from the annotation of a GenBank genome assembly.
UGGUGUAGAACAGGCUCUCUGGAGGCGGUUUGUAACUGUGGUCACAAAAAUCAAUGUUCUGGGAGAACGGGAAUCAGCUCCAUUUUUUGGGGGCCCUUUACACAGCUCAAGGUCUGGGUCCCAGGGUCCACCUUCAUGUUCCACCAAUGAGUUUGUUCACAGGGGGUGGAUUGUGUAGGGGAUGUCCUGAUAUGUGUGUAAGGAAUGCAUUGUGUGAAUCUGUGUUUGUAUGUGUAAG